This 329-nucleotide ribosomal RNA is filed under the name uncultured eukaryote. RNAcentral's name for it is "partial 18S ribosomal RNA". It matches the Rfam family "Eukaryotic small subunit ribosomal RNA", at positions 1470 to 1796 of the family's 1831-position model. The record is from RNAcentral.
CCCUUAGAUGUUCUGGGCCGCACGCGCGCUACACUGAUACAUUCAACGAGUAUACAACCUUGGCUGAAAGGCCUGGGUAAUCUUUUGAAACUGUAUCGUGAUGGGGAUAGAUUAUUGCAAUUUUUAAUCUUCAACGAGGAAUUCCUAGUAAACGCAAGUCAUCAGCUUGCAUUGAUUACGUCCCUGCCCUUUGUACACACCGCCCGUCGCACCUACCGAUUGAAUGGUCCGGUGAAAUUUUCGAACCGUUGCAAUGUCGCCUUCAUUGGAGACGCUGCAGUGGGAAGUUAAUUAAACCUUNCNAUUUAUNGGAAGGUGAANUCGUANCA